UGCUUUGACUUUGCCUGAACCUUAGUACAACUUUGUUUAUUUCGAAGACCAUUGGUUAAAACACGGUUGGCAUCCUUAGAACUUAUAAAAGAUGAAGACGAUGAUGAUAUUGUGUUUGUUCGUAGCCAUCUCCAUGGUUAUGGCAGAUGAUUACUAUGGUCAAGAUAAUCCCAAUUUUUAUCAACAUGAACCAAUACAGAAAUCCAAACACGUGGUAAUCAAGCCCUGUCUGGAUUAUGGAUUAUUCGAAGAUCCCAACGACUGUGGUGCUUUCUUCCAAUGUUCGCCAGCAGGUUUGGUUCGUAUCAAGUGCGCUAAAGGAACCCUUUUUGACAGAAAUAUUAAAAGAUGUAACACCAAGGAAUUUGUCUCAUGUUACAGCGGCGUCAGUUGUCCACAUCAAUAUGGCCUCUUCCCUGAUCCCAGAUUCUGUAACAAGUUCCUGAAUUGUUUCAAGAAUAUCCCCUACGUUCAAGCUUGUCCAGCUGGUCUGGUGUUUAAUGCUAUUGCUCCUGGUAAAGGUUUCUGUGAUUACCCUAAAUAUGUCUAUUGUGGAGGUAAAGAGAUCGCUGUAAUCAAAGUCCACAAACCAGUCAUUAAACACCCAGGUUACAUCCCAGUUGAGCACCCAGUCUACACCCCAGUUGAACGACCAGUCCAUACCAAAGUUCACAAGGAACCUAAGAAUUAUAACCCUAUAGAUAAUUCACGUGACUAUGCUGAAUACAGACGAAGCAAGCAAGUUGAGCACCCCGUCUACACCCCGGUUGUUAAGGAGACAGUCUACACCCCAGUUGUUAAGGAGACAGUCUACACUCGCUCUAAUUACGACAGCGAUGAAUCCAAAUAAUUUCAUUUACUAAUAUUUUUAAUUUAUUAAGGAAUUGAAUUGUUUGUCAAUGUCUAACAUUUAUGUCUAUUUAUUUGAAUAUUUUAUAGGAUUUUCUUUCUUCUCUAGUUCUGGACAUUAAUUUAUAAUUAUCCUGAUCUAUAUUUGUUAACAUUAUAUAAAUGUAUAAUUAUCCUGGUCUAUGUUUGUUAACAUUAUAUAAAUGUAUAAUAAUUAUCCUGGUCUAUGUUUGCUUACAUUAAAUAUAUAUGUAUAAUUCGAUGCCCUAGUUCUGAAAGGUUGUAAGUGCCACUUAUGACCCAAAUAGCUUGAGGAUCACUAAUCACAUUGGGGGGCUUCUCUAUGCAAAUUUCAGAAGUGUAAGAUCGUAACUUCCACAUAAAACAGCUUUUAAAAAUGUUGAUAUCCUAACUGGGUUAUUAAGAUUGGAUUAGGUUUUUCUCUCAUAUCGUAAAACCUAAAUCCGACAUAC
This is a long non-coding RNA of Patella vulgata (common limpet), 1322 nucleotides long. RefSeq lists it as uncharacterized. The transcript has 3 exons. The record is from RefSeq and is a predicted model, not a curated record. Lineage: Eukaryota; Metazoa; Mollusca; Gastropoda; Patellidae.